Hypanus sabinus (Atlantic stingray) is the source of this 1841-nucleotide long non-coding RNA. RefSeq lists it as uncharacterized. The record is from RefSeq and is a predicted model, not a curated record. Lineage: Eukaryota; Metazoa; Chordata; Chondrichthyes; Myliobatiformes; Dasyatidae. The transcript is spliced from 4 exons.
GACAUCCAGGAGUGAGAUAUAUCAGCUGGAUGAGUGGUGUGGCAGCAACAACCUUGCACUCAAUAUCAACAAGAGCAAAGAAGUGAUCAUGGACAUCAGGAUGGCAAAGAAGAGGGAACACACACCAAGGAUCAGAAUAACUUGUCAGAAGGUGCCAGCAUGUUGACAGUAAGGAAGGAUAUCUAAAGGCUAAGGCCUUACUACAGGAAUAUUUUCAUAUGGAACAGAAAAUUGCAUCUGCCUACAUGCAAAACGUUCUCUCUUGGGUACUUAUCAAAUCUGAAGAUGUGAAGGCUCUUAGAGGCUGGUGUAAUGCCAUGGAAGAAGUGCAGUACAUGUGUGAAUUGGACAUGCCUACCAACAUGUCGACUGUAAAGAAAUUGCCCUGUAUGCUCAGGGAUAAAUGGAGAAUGGUGGUCUGUAAACUGCAAGAAAAGCACAACGAUGCUAGAGACAGGGGAACAAGGGAGACUCGGUAGCGGAACCUAUGGUGAAAAGACCAAUGCUGGAAGAACUCAAAGGUCAAGCAGCAUCUGUGAGGGGCAGGCAGUCGGCCCGGGCAGAGUCCUCAACUGCCUAAAGAUGUAAAUCAACAUCAACGUAACAUCAACCAACGUCAACUAACAUCAACCAACAUCGACAUAACAUCAACCAAUAUCAACUGGAAUCUGAAGGAAGAAACAAAAUGCUAUCAGAACUCAGCAGGUCAGGCAGCAUCUGUGGCAGAACAUCGUCGACAUUUCCGGGCAAGACCCUCAUCUUGGCAUCAGGAAACAACUUCUGUGAGGCAGAUAUUGAUCAAUGGGGUCAACCCCAGAUGGGGGAGAUGAGAGAGAAGCAUUAGACUGGAUGAGAUACUAAAAGGGAUGGAGACAAAUAGUAGAGUGGGGUUUGAUAUUAAAGGGUGUUAGGCGAGAUGUGAAAGCACAGUUGGAUUGGGUGGACUAUCACAGGCUUUGGUGAGUCAGGGUUGUGGAGAACAUUUAAGGAAGCAGGGAAGAGGGGGAAAUAAGGAAUAGACUGGAUCAGGUUAAUGUACUGUAUUGUGCUAAGAAAGGCAAAAGAAGAUUGAACUGGUGAGAUAUUUAAAGAAGGAGUGAGGGUGAAAUUUCUGACCCCCACCCCACUCCCCAUCCAGCACGUCAGUGCUCCCAAUUGUCGUGAUCUGCAGCCAGAAUUCAAAUCAUUUUUUAGCAUUCUGUUUUAGUUUCAGUUUCCAUUUCUAGCUCUCUGUGAGCCCAAUAGUUUUGUUUCCCCGAUGUAAACUGCACAGGGAGCGGGGCAGGACAUGAAUCAACAGGGGCACACAGCCAGAUUGUGGUAGAGCUUCCUCAUCCCUGCAGUCUUUAAUAUCCAAAACUAAUCUACUCCCUUGGCCCUCACUCCCCACUGGCUUUAAUUCCCCACCAACUCAUAUCCCAGUCCCCACAUGCUUUUGUAUGGCACCCCACUCAGCUGCCACACCCUUUAUGGCCUGUUUCGUUGUGCACUCUUAGAUGUGCAGAACUGGGUGAGCACUGCCUUUGUCUGAGGACUCUCACUCCGAUCCUAUGUUAAUGCCUGACUGUGGGGAUUAAUACCAGAAACAAGCGUUGCCAAGGUUGUUCUCAGAACAAACAAUGCACAUGACAAAUAUCUGAUUGUAAGUAGUGUGUUAUAUUAGACCGAGGUGCCGUGAAAGAAUCAGAAUUAGGUUUAUCAUCACUGACAUAAAUUGUGAAAUACAGAUUAGCUUAACUUGCCACAUGGGCAUCGAAACAUACAAUGAAGUGAAUGGUUUUGAGUCAAAUCAAAUCAAAUCAGAGAAAACUGUGCUGGGAAAGUUUCACGAUGCUUCCUGC